GACGAACGCUGGCGGCGUGCCUAACACAUGCAAGUCUACGAGAAAGGGGUAGCAAUAUCCCGUGUAAAGUGGCGCAAGGGUGAGUAAUAUGUAAGUAAUCUACCCAUGGGUUCGGAAUAACUCGUCGAAAGACGGGAUAAUACCGUAUAAUGCAGCGGCAUCGCAUGAUGAUGUUGUUAAAGCUCUAGAAGCGCCUAUGGAUGAGCUUGCAUCCGAUUAGCUAGUUGGUGGGGUAAUUGCCUACCAAGGCUACAAUCGGUAGCUGGUCUGAGAGGAUGAUCAGCCACACUGGAACUGAGACACGGUCCAGACUCCUACGGGAGGCUG
RNAcentral lists this ribosomal RNA (327 nucleotides) under uncultured Chlorobiota bacterium. RNAcentral's name for it is "bacterial SSU rRNA". It matches the Rfam family "Bacterial small subunit ribosomal RNA", at positions 28 to 351 of the family's 1533-position model. Lineage: Bacteria; Pseudomonadati; Chlorobiota. The record is from RNAcentral.